UCCACAUGGGGGUGGGGGGAAACAGAGAUACAAGAGGAUUGUCUCGUCUAGAAGAGAGGUUUCCAAACCUGGCUUUUCUUGUGCAGCGCCCUUCAUAACACAUGGCCCUGCUCCCAAUCUUAUCCCAGUCAGAAAUCGACGGGCUCACACCCACAAGCGGAAGGAAUCCCUCCAGUCCAUCUCCAGUAAAAAUACCUGAACACCAAAGGUUGACAAGUCUUGAGUCUUCAAAACAAACGUAGAAACUUCCAGAUUCUUCAGAUUACUUGAAAGUUCCAGGGACAUAUACAAACUAUUCAAACUUUUCCUUUUGUUUCCUACCAUGAGAAAUCCUGGACACAAAGAAAAAUCUUAUAAUGGACCACUAGCAUUCCUUUCCUUCCCUUCUCCUUCAUAAACAAUAGACUUACUGUACUCCAGUAAUGAUAUACAGACACUCUGGUAUACUCACAAAGAUAAUUCUGCAAUCCAGGUUAUUUCUGUAAGAAGCAACGAAGAUAUGCAAUGUCAGUACUCAGACCUGAAACAUGAAAGAACCCUGAACACUGUGCUGUGUAAUGGCAGCUCUAAGAAUUCACACAACAAAAAGUAUGCUCUGUUGCUAGAAUCUCAUUUUUAAAAGAAAUAUACACCA
This 634-nucleotide long non-coding RNA is filed under the name Corvus moneduloides (New Caledonian crow). RNAcentral's name for it is "lncRNA (ENSCMUG00000019210.1)". The record is from RNAcentral. Lineage: Eukaryota; Metazoa; Chordata; Aves; Passeriformes; Corvidae.